Molecule: ribosomal RNA, 450 nt
Filed under: uncultured bacterium
Lineage: Bacteria
Description: partial 16S ribosomal RNA
Rfam family: Bacterial small subunit ribosomal RNA
Source: RNAcentral
GUGGGGAAUAUUCUGCAAUGGACGAAAGUCUGACGGAGCAACGCCGCGUGAGUGAUGAAGGUUUUCGGACUGUAAAGCUCUGUUGUUUGGGACGAAAGUGCCUGUUGCGAACAGUUACGGGUAUUGACGGUACUAAACGAGGAAGCCACGGCUAACUACGUGCCAGCAGCCGCGGUAAUACGUAGGUGGCAAGCGUUGUCCGGAAUUAUUGGGCGUAAAGAGCAUGUAGGCGGGAAUCUAAGUCUGUUGUUAAAAUGCGGGGCGCAACCCCGUAUUGCGAUGGAAACUGGGUUUCUUGAGUGCAGGAGAGGAAAGGGGAAUUCCCAGUGUAGCGGUGAAAUGCGUAGAUAUUGGGAGGAACACCAGUGGCGAAGGCGCCUUUCUGGACUGUGUCUGACGCUGAGAUGCGAAAGCCAGGGUAGCGAACGGGAUUAGAAACCCCGGUAGUCC